UAAAGGAGUAGGUCCGGUAAGGACCGAUUUUGGCCUCAAAUUUCAGGUUCAUCUGACGAAAGAUUUUGACCACUUUUUAAACACUUAAGUGUCUAUCUUAUUUGAAUUAAUUAGUUUAUGUGAAAGAUUUUAACAGAUUUAGUCAUUAAAAACGAUCCGAUUCAAGCUCAAAUAUGAAAAAUCUACCUAAUAUGCCGAAAAAUGUCAUUUUUCAGAUG
This 218-nucleotide long non-coding RNA is filed under the name Mytilus galloprovincialis (Mediterranean mussel). The record is from RNAcentral. Lineage: Eukaryota; Metazoa; Mollusca; Bivalvia; Mytilida; Mytilidae.